Molecule: ribosomal RNA, 537 nt
Filed under: Lewinia pectoralis (Lewin's rail)
Lineage: Eukaryota; Metazoa; Chordata; Aves; Gruiformes; Rallidae
Description: partial 12S ribosomal RNA
Rfam family: Bacterial small subunit ribosomal RNA
Source: RNAcentral
GCUCGGCCCUAAAUCUAGAUGUUCCCACUACCCAAAACAUCCGCCCGAGAACUACGAGCACAAACGCUUAAAACUCUAAGGACUUGGCGGUGCUCCAAACCCACCUAGAGGAGCCUGUUCUAUAAUCGAUAACCCACGAUUCACCUAACCCCUUCUUGCCCAAAGCAGCCUACAUACCGCCGUCCCCAGCUCACCUUCUCUGAAAGCCCCACAGUGAGCACAACAGCAUCCCGCUAAUAAGACAGGUCAAGGUAUAGCCCAUGAAGGGGGAGAAAUGGGCUACAUUUUCUAAGAUAGAAAAUAUUAACGGAAAGGAAUCUGAAAUAAACCCCAGAAGGANNNNNNNNNNNNNNNNNNNNNUAAGAAUACCCUCUUAAAUUUGGCCCUGGAGCACGUACAUACCGCCCGUCACCCUCCUCACAACUACCAAAUACCCCCUACUUAAGCCUGAAACAAAAAGUUAAAAGAUGAGGUAAGUCGUAACAAGGUAAGUGUACUGGAAAGUGCACUUAGCAUCAAGGCGUAGCUAUAACGCCA